GCUGUGUAGGUUGUAUAGAUGUGUUAGAACAUAUCCAGCUGUGUCGGUUGCUGUGUAGGUUGUAUAGAGGUGUGUUAUAGCACAUAUCCAGCUGUGUCGGUUGCUGUGUAGGUUGUAUAGAUGUGUGUUAGAACAUAUCCAGCUGUGUCGGUUGCUGUGUAGGUUGUAUAGAGGUGUGUUAUAGCACAUAUCCAGCUGUGUCGGUUGCUGUGUAGGUUGUAUAGAUGUGUGUUAGCACAUAUCCAGCUGUGUCGGUUGCUGUGUAGGUUGUAUAGAUGUGUGUUAGCACAUAUCCAGCUGUGUCGGUGUUGUGUAGGUUGUAUAGUUGCGUGUUAGCACAUAUCCAGCUGUGUCCAUUGUUGUGUAGGUUGCAUAGAGGUGUGUUAGCACAUAUCCAGCUGUGUCGUUGCUGUGUAGGUUGUAAAGUUGUGUUAUAGCACAUAUCCAGCUGUGUCGGUUGCUGUGUAGGUUGUAUAGAUGUGUGUUAGAACAUAUCCAGCUGUGUCGGUUGCUGUGUAGGUUGUAUAGAGGUGUGUUAUAGCAAAUAUCCAGCUGUGUCGGUUGCUGUGUAGGUUGUAUAGAUGUGUGUUAGAACAUAUCCAGCUGUGUCGGUUGCUGUGUAGGUUGUAUAGAGGUGUGUUAUAGCAAAUAUCCAGCUGUGUCGGUUGCUGUGUAGGUUGUAUAGAGGUGUGUUAUAGCAUAUAUCCAGCUGUGUCGGUUGCUGUGUAGGUUGUAUAGAUGUGUGUUAGCACAUAUCCAGCUGUCUCUGUUGCUGUGUAGGUUGUAUAGAGGUGUGUUAGAACAUAUCCAGCUGUGUCGGUUGCUGUGUAGGUUGUAUAGUUGCGUGUUAGCACAUAUCCAGCUGUGUCCAUUGUUGUGUAGGUUGCAUAGAGGUGUGUUAGCACAUAUCCAGCUGUGUCGUUGCUGUGUAGGUUGUAUAGAUGUGUGUUAGAACAUAUCCAGCUGUGUCGGUUGCUGUGUAGGUUGUAUAGAGGUGUGUUAGCACAUAUCCAGCUGUGUCGGUUGCUGUGUAGGUUGUAUAGAGUUAUGUUAGCACAUAUCCAGCUGUGUCGGUUGCUGUGUAGGUUGUAUAGAUGUGUGUUAGCACAUAUCCAGCUGUGUCGGUUGCUCUGUAGGUUGUAUAGAGGUGUGUUAGCACAUAUCCAGCUGUGUCGGUUGCUGUGUAGGUUGUAUAGAUGUUUGUUAGCACAUAUCCAGCUGUGUCCGUUGCUGUGUAGGUUGUACAGAGGUGUGUUAGCACAUAUCCAGCUGUGUCGAUGCUGUGUAGGUUGUAUAGAGGUGUGUUAGCACAUAUCCAGCUGUGUCGGUUGCUGUGUAGGUUGUAUAGAGGUGUGUUAGCACAUAUCCAGCUGUGUCGGUUGCUGUGUAGGUUGUAUAGAGGUGUGUUAGCACAUAUCCAGCUGUGUCGGUUGCUGUGUAGGUUGUAUAGAGGUGUGUUA
Molecule: long non-coding RNA, 1460 nt
Organism: Silurus meridionalis
Lineage: Eukaryota; Metazoa; Chordata; Actinopteri; Siluriformes; Siluridae
Exons: 3
Source: RefSeq, a predicted model, not a curated record